AGGUGGCUGGGAGUGCCGUGUGACCCUGCCCUGGGGGAGGCCUCAGGCCAGGGACCUGCAAAGCCAGCACCCAACCAAGUCGCCUAGAGCUUUACUAACGCUGAGGCAGCAGGUGCCAGGUCGCUACCCACCCUGGCCUGGGAAGACCAGCCCUGCCCGCUUCACCAGACUCCAGGAGCCACUGUGCCCGGGACAAGGCUGCAUGUCCCACUCAGUGCCAAUUUUCAGGGCACUAGGAGAAGGGACUAGCCUAGCCCUCGGGCCAUGCCUGCCAGCACAGCCUGCAUAGCCACCCACCCCUGCCUCUCCAGGCCUCCCAGGAGACAGAGCCACAGGUGACAGCUCAACCCUGGGGAGCUGCCACUGACCUUGGAGGGAGGAACGGAGGAGGGAGGAA
This 397-nucleotide long non-coding RNA is filed under the name Macaca fascicularis (crab-eating macaque). RNAcentral's name for it is "lncRNA (ENSMFAG00000065109.1)". Lineage: Eukaryota; Metazoa; Chordata; Mammalia; Primates; Cercopithecidae. The record is from RNAcentral.